This 111-nucleotide microRNA precursor is filed under the name Helianthus annuus (common sunflower). RNAcentral describes it as "sRNA HanXRQr2_Chr14g0620641". Lineage: Eukaryota; Viridiplantae; Streptophyta; Magnoliopsida; Asterales; Asteraceae. The record is from RNAcentral.
ACUUCUAGACAAUCUGUUUCGCUCAGUGCCAUGCCCCGAUGAUUCUGUCACACCCCAACUGAUGGCGGAAUCAUCGGGGCAUGGCACUGAGCGAAACAGAUUGUCCAGAAG